GAGUUAUAAAGAAAGCUUUUUACCCUGAUGAUCUCAGAUGUUGUAGAUGGAGUUAAUCCAUCAUUCUCUAGUUUAGACAAGUGCUACUAGUCCCACCGUCAGGAAAGAGGCAGCUGUUGCUUAUUACUAUUAUGAGGACAGCAGAUGAUCCCCAUUUUUGUGAGGGUUUUUUUUUCUACUAUAAAAACAGAACUUUCUGGUGUCUGGGAUGCUGACCCUGGACUUGAGGUGCUGUGAUGGCUGUGUGGACAGAAGGGAGGCCAAGAGACCCAGAGCUAUCACUAACACAGAACUUCCAGGAAUUUGUUUGCAGAGAAUUUACAUACUAUCAAGGCGCACAUUUCUUCUCCUAAAGGAAGGAGUCUCGGAGUCCCCACAUCAGCUGCUAAUGCUUCCUAUUUUGUGUUGUUUUCCAUGUACUGUGUCUAUAUCUUGUAAGUACCUCCUCCUCUAGACUUCAGGGAGAAAGGCAGUGCUUGUUUUGUCUUCCUUUGUAUCCCAAGUGUUAAGUGUAAUUCCUGACUAAUAGUAAACACUUAAUCAAUAUUUGGUGAUAUACAGACUCAUUUAUUGGACCCUAUUACACAGGUACAAUGCAAAAAAGGAAGAGAGAAAUUCCUAUCUUCAAGGAGUGUAGAACAUACUGAAGGUAGGCAGCAUUUGUAAAAAUCAAGCAGGGCAUUUAAAAAAUCAGAAAUAAAGACCAAACCUAGAUAACGCUUCCA
Molecule: long non-coding RNA, 725 nt
Filed under: Monodelphis domestica (gray short-tailed opossum)
Lineage: Eukaryota; Metazoa; Chordata; Mammalia; Didelphimorphia; Didelphidae
Description: lncRNA (ENSMODG00000042793.1)
Source: RNAcentral